This is a long non-coding RNA of Carassius gibelio (silver crucian carp), 1193 nucleotides long. RefSeq lists it as uncharacterized. The record is from RefSeq and is a predicted model, not a curated record. The transcript has 2 exons. Lineage: Eukaryota; Metazoa; Chordata; Actinopteri; Cypriniformes; Cyprinidae.
GGCGCACUUUAAUGAGGACCUUGGUCAUGAUCAUGCGAUGAUCUGUCCAGCACUCCGCACCUCUCAUGGCCCGGGUUAUGAGAACGUCUCUUGCUGGAAGAUGGUGUUGGUUAUGGUCAGGUUGUGCUCAGAGCAGAGGGUAAGUGACCUCAUGCCAUUUGAGUUGGCCUGACCAAUCCCAUGCCUGCCAAGUACUCCUUUCCGCAUCCCACUGUUCUUCCCAACACGGGCAGUGAAGUCUCCAAGCAGGAGGAUCUUGUUGUUCUUGGGGAUCUGGUGGAGAGCCUCAUCCACUGUUUGGUAAAAAGAGUCUUUAGACUCACUGUCAGACGGUAGAGUUGGAGCAUACACACUUAGAAGUGUGGCAUAGCGGUUCUUCACCAGGGGGAUACGGAGGGUCAUCACUCUUUCACUGAUGCCCACAGGAGUUUCAGUGAGUCUUGGCAGUCUUCUUUCUUAAUUGCCAGUCCCACACCAUGCAGAUGUCUCCUGGACUCCUAUAGCAGGUCUGAAAGACCCCACAGAACAACAGCGCUGGUUACAGCCGAGCCGCACCGCUAUGAUAUUGACAUUGCUGCCCUGAGUGAAACAAGGCUCCUUGAUGAGGGGUCUCUAACAGAGGAGGACAUGGGCUACACCUUCUACUGGAAAGGCUAUCCCACAGGUGGACAACAUCUGCAAGGUGAGGUCUCAGUGUGUUCAACACAAACAGUAAGAGCUGAACUGGUUUGACCUUUCACCUGUUCACCAGCAUCACGCUGAGCUCGUAUGAGCAUGAAGAAGGUUUACUGCAGGAGCGCUCCUGUUCCUGUCUGAAGGCAGUUUGUGAACCUGAUUUUUAACGAUUAGUUCGUUUGACUCAGAUGUGAUUCAUUAUUUAAACGAGUCUGUAAUGAACUCCAGUGUCAUAUUAACAGAGUUAUUCUGGGACUGCGAUGCUUCAUCUCUCUGGAGACUCUAACUUUAACUGUCUUCUCACACAUAUCUACCACAUCCAUGAGUCACCAGCAUCCUCUCAGAAGAUCUCACAGUAUUCAUCAUAAAACUGUCCACCUGUUAGAUCUGGAAACUAGUCACAUGGAACAGAAUUAUAUGAUUUAAUAAUAAUAAUUAAAUAAAAAAAAAUUAACUGUAAUCUUUUCCAAAUGAUGUGAAACACUGUGUAAUUAAAUCACAGCUACUUACAGAUUGAA